This 472-nucleotide ribosomal RNA is filed under the name soil isolate KBS-LC2. RNAcentral describes it as "bacterial SSU rRNA". It matches the Rfam family "Bacterial small subunit ribosomal RNA", at positions 32 to 497 of the family's 1533-position model. The record is from RNAcentral.
CUAACGCUGGCGGCAUGCCUUACACAUGCAAGUCGAACGGUAACAGGUCUUUCGGGAUGCUGACGAGUGGCGAACGGGUGAGUAAUACAUCGGGACGUGCCUAGUAGUGGGGGAUAACUACUCGAAAGAGUGGCUAAUACCGCAUGAGAUCUAUGGAUGAAAGCAGGGGACCUUCGGGCCUUGUGCUACUAGAGCGGCCGAUGGCAGAUUAGGUAGUUGGUGGGAUAAAAGCUUACCAAGCCUACGAUCUGUAGCUGGUCUGAGAGGACGAUCAGCCACACUGGGACUGAGACACGGCCCAGACUCCUACGGGAGGCAGCAGUGGGGAAUUUUGGACAAUGGGCGCAAGCCUGAUCCAGCAAUGCCGCGUGCAGGAUGAAGGCCUUCGGGUUGUAAACUGCUUUUGUACGGAACGAAAAGUCUUGGGUUAAUACCCUGGGAUCAUGACGGUACCGUAAGAAUAAGCACCGGG